RNAcentral lists this ribosomal RNA (440 nucleotides) under uncultured bacterium. RNAcentral describes it as "partial 16S ribosomal RNA". It matches the Rfam family "Bacterial small subunit ribosomal RNA", at positions 338 to 795 of the family's 1533-position model. The record is from RNAcentral.
CCUACGGGUGGCAGCAGUGGGGAAUAUUGCACAAUGGGGGAAACCCUGAUGCAGCGACGUCGCGUGAGCGAUGAAGUCUUUCGGUGUGUAAAGCUCUUUCAGCAGGGAAGUAAAUGACGUUACCUGACUGAGCAUCCCUGUCUAAUUACAGUCCAGCAACAGCGGUAAUGCGUAGGGUGCAAGCGUUAUCCGGAUUGACUGGGGGUAACGGGAGCGUAGUCGGCUUUGCAGGCCUGCUGUGAAAGCCCGGGGCUCAACCCCGGGACUGCAGUUGGAACUGGCUGGUUGGAGUGUCGGCGAGGCAGGCGGAAUGCGGAGUGUAGCGGUGAAAUGCGUAGAUAUGAGGAAGAACACCAGUGGCGAAGGCAGCCUGCUGGACGAGGACUGACGCUGAGGCUCGAAAGCGUGGGUAGCAAACAGGAUUAGAUACCCGUGUAGUC